UAACGGNGAGUGAAGCGGCAACAGCUCAAAUUUGAAAUCUGGCCCCGUCGGGGUCCGAGUUGUAAUUUGUAGAGAGUGUUUCGGGUGAGACCACGGUCUAAGUCUAUUGGAACAUGGCGUCAUAGAGGGUGAGAAUCCCGUAUGUGACCGUGGCUCGAGCCCAUGUGAAGCCUCUUCGACGAGUCGAGUUGUUUGGGAAUGCAGCUCAAAAUGGGUGGUAAAUUUCAUCUAAAGCUAAAUACUGGCUGGAGACCGAUAGCGCACAAGUAGAGUGAUCGAAAGAUGAAAAGCACUUUGGAAAGAGAGUCAAAAAGUACGUGAAAUUGUUGAAAGGGAAGCGCUUGCAACCAGACCUGUCCGUAGGUGAUCAGCCGCUGUUCUCAGCGGUGCACUCGCUCUGCGAUCAGGCCAGCAUCGGUUUCGGCGGUCGGAUAAAGGCCUUGGGAAUGUAGCUUCUUUCGGGGAGUCUUAUAGCCCUCGGUGCAAUGCGGCCAGCCGGGACCGAGGACCGCGCUUCGGCUAGGAUGCUGGCGUAAUGGUUGUAAGCGACCCGUCUUGAAACACGGACCAAGGAGUCUACCAUCUAUGCGAGUGUUUGGGUGUUAAACCCAUGCGCGGAAUGAAAGUGAACGGAGGUGAGAACCCUUUAGGGCGCAUCAUCGACCGAUCCAGAUGUCUUCGGAUGGAUUUGAGUAUGAGCAUAGCUGGUGGGACCCGAAAGAUGGUGAACUAUACUUGAAUAGGGUGAAGCCAGAGGAAACUCUGGUGGAGGCUCGCAGCGGUUCUGACGUGCAAAUCGAUCGUCAAAUUUGAGUAUAGGGG
RNAcentral lists this ribosomal RNA (822 nucleotides) under Usnea cornuta. Its description in RNAcentral is "eukaryotic LSU rRNA". It matches the Rfam family "Eukaryotic large subunit ribosomal RNA", at positions 84 to 923 of the family's 3401-position model. Lineage: Eukaryota; Fungi; Ascomycota; Lecanoromycetes; Lecanorales; Parmeliaceae. The record is from RNAcentral.